RNAcentral lists this long non-coding RNA (597 nucleotides) under Manihot esculenta (cassava). RNAcentral describes it as "long non-coding RNA (MESC_LNC006023)". Lineage: Eukaryota; Viridiplantae; Streptophyta; Magnoliopsida; Malpighiales; Euphorbiaceae. The record is from RNAcentral.
AAAAAAAAGGUUUGGAUUCACGACGAACGGUCAUCGUGAAUCCAGGAUUUCAGCAACAGCCGAUUGCAACCUCGAGAACGACCCGACGACAGCUGUGACAUGCCUAUCACUGGCGCCGCACACAGGCCAUGCGCAGCAGUAGCAAUGGUGGCUAUUCUCCGAGUGGUUGCGGGAGCUAUAAAACCGAAUGGGUCUCAGUUUCUACUCCUCGCGAUUCCGACGAUGACUCCUGUGCCUGUCGCCGGCGUCGCACGCUUGCCGUGUAUAGCAUCGCGUCUGGAUUGUUGAGCUCGUCGUCGGGCACCUCAAACCGCUUCCUGGUCACGGGAGAGAGCCACAGCGUCUUCGGAAGAUCACGCAUAUCUCCGUGAAUUCGUCGGCAAUGGAGCUCUCGGUGCUGAUUCGGACCGCCGACAUGAGCGCAAUCGUUGCGCAAGCUCUGAUAGUUCGAUUGGCGGCAGGGAGCGAACUGGUCUAGCGGUGAGUGUGAAGACAACGGCGGCGGAUAGGUCUUCUCAAAGUAGAAGAUGAGUAUUUGCCAAAUUAUGAUUUGAACCCUGCAACUUUUUAAAAGUUUUAAGGAAGUCUUUUUGGCAG